CCUACGGGAGGCAGCAGUGGGGAAUAUUGCACAAUGGGGGAAACCCUGAUGCAGCGACGCCGCGUGAGUGAGGAAGUAUUUCGGUAUGUAAAGCUCUAUCAGCAGGGAAGAAAAUGACGGUACCUGACUAAGAAGCUCCGGCUAACUACGUGCCAGCAGCCGCGGUAAUACGUAGGGGGCAAGCGUUAUCCGGAUUUACUGGGUGUAAAGGGAGCGUAGACGGUUAAUCAAGUCAGAAGUGAAAACCCAGGGCUCAACCUUGGGACUGCUUUUGAAACUGAGUAGCUAGAGUGCUGGAGAGGUAAGCGGAAUUCCUAGUGUAGCGGUGAAAUGCGUAGAUAUUAGGAGGAACACCAGUGGCGAAGGCGGCUUACUGGACUGUAACUGACGUUGAGGCUCGAAAGCGUGGGGAGCAAACAGGAUUAGAUACCCGGGUAGUC
This 440-nucleotide ribosomal RNA is filed under the name uncultured bacterium. Its description in RNAcentral is "partial 16S ribosomal RNA". It matches the Rfam family "Bacterial small subunit ribosomal RNA", at positions 338 to 795 of the family's 1533-position model. The record is from RNAcentral.